This 120-nucleotide transfer RNA is filed under the name Candidatus Woesearchaeota archaeon. Its description in RNAcentral is "tRNA-OTHER". It matches the Rfam family "tRNA". Rfam says of the family: Transfer RNA (tRNA) molecules are approximately 80 nucleotides in length. Their secondary structure includes four short double-helical elements and three loops (D, anti-codon, and T loops). The record is from RNAcentral. Lineage: Archaea; Nanobdellati; Candidatus Woesearchaeota.
GCGGAGGUGCCGGAGUGGCCAAACGGGAUAGGGGGUUUCAAUAAUUCUUUUUAUUGUACCCAUCCAAGCUUAGGACCUAUUGGCUUAGUGCCUACGCAGGUUCGAAUCCUGUCCUCCGCA